CACCACCAUGGAGUGGAGUCUGCGGCUUAAUUUGACAACACUGGGAAACUCAUCAGGGCAAGAAGAUUUUAGGAUUGACAGAUUGAGAGUUCUUUCUUGAUUGGUCUAGUGGUGGUGCAUGGCCGUUCUUAGUUGGUGGAGUGAUUUGUCUGGUUAAUUCCGUUAACGAACGAGACCUUAACCUGCUAACUAGUGCUUCGAUUUCUCAUCGGAGGCACUUCUUAGAGGGGACUAUGUGUGGUAAUCACAUGGAAGUUUGAGGCAAUAACAGGUCUGUGAUGCCCUUAGAUGUCCUGAGCUGCACGCGUACUACAAUGGCACUUUCAACAAGUUUUUCCUGAUCCGAAAGGAUUUGGGUAAUCUUUUCAGUGAGUGCCGUGCUUCGGGAUAGUUCUUUGUAAUUGUGGAACUUGAACUAGGAAUUCCUAGUAAGCGCGAGUCAUCAUCUCGUGCUGAUUACGUCCCUGCAAAAUGUACACACCG
RNAcentral lists this ribosomal RNA (483 nucleotides) under uncultured eukaryote. RNAcentral describes it as "SSU rRNA". It matches the Rfam family "Eukaryotic small subunit ribosomal RNA", at positions 1165 to 1671 of the family's 1831-position model. The record is from RNAcentral.